CNGGAGUUGUUGUGUUUUCGGUGUCUACAAUCUUUAGCGUAUUGUCCAAAUUUCCCACAAACAAAGCAUCCUCCUUUGGUCUUCUUCUUGAACAUAUUAAGGUUCCUUGAAGGCUUCCUUUUGUUGGAUUUUAUUGGUGAUUCAUAUUUUUUACAGCAUUUAUUUUGGAAGUGCCCUCGUGAGAGUCACUUUUAUUACUCAUUCUCGACUCUUCCUCAAUCCGAAGAUGAUUUUACAAUUAUUCCAAAGAAUAAUCUUCGGAACUAUACAUUAUCUUCUUUCGGUAUCCUUUCUAAGUUUCGGAAAGUCUGGCAAUUAUAGCCCCCACUUGAAAGGUCUCCGGUAUUUCAAUUUUCAUCGCCUUCAACCUAUUGACAAUUACUUGCAUUUCAUAUAUUUGGGGAAGAAGGGGAAUAUUUUCUAAAAAUUUAAAAUCAAAGUACUAAGAAAUUAAAAAUUUCUUUGUACCUUCUUCUUUCGCUUUGUACUUGCUUUCGGGUGCAUCCCAAAUUUUCUUUAUCGAAGUUGUGUUUGUAUAUAAGUCAUACAUACGAUCCGAUAAUGCGUUGAGAAUGUGACCGUGGUAUAUUAGCUCAUCUUCUUGACGCUUUUGUCUUUCAUUUCCCACCGCUUCGAUUUCUCCAUUUGUUGGUUCUGGUAGUGGUGCAAGAUUCGGAUCUAAGAUGUAGAAGAUCUUCAAUGCAGUGAGAAGAAACUUCAAUUUGUCUUUCCACCGAAUGUAGUUUGUUCCAUCGAACCAAUCCAACCGCACUAAAUCUUGGUUCAUGAGUUUUAUGGUUGUCAUUGUAGUCUCGCUCUCCAUCGUAACAAAUAACAUUUGAG
Molecule: long non-coding RNA, 843 nt
Filed under: Olea europaea subsp. europaea
Lineage: Eukaryota; Viridiplantae; Streptophyta; Magnoliopsida; Lamiales; Oleaceae
Source: RNAcentral